Molecule: unclassified non-coding RNA, 306 nt
Filed under: Basidiomycota sp.
Lineage: Eukaryota; Fungi; Basidiomycota
Description: partial contains small subunit ribosomal RNA, internal transcribed spacer 1, and 5.8S ribosomal RNA
Rfam family: Eukaryotic small subunit ribosomal RNA (bases 1-47)
Source: RNAcentral
AAAGUCGUAACAAGGUUUCCGUAGGUGAACCUGCGGAAGGAUCAUUAGAAAAACUUGGGGAUUUAUUUCCGAUACCCAUUCUGUGCACUGUUUAAAUCUUAAACUUUCCUGGUUGUUUAAGCUGGAGGACCCUUGGUCUGAAAGCUUUUGAGUGUUAGAGUUGGCCUGAAGUCAGGUUGAUUCCUAUACUAGGCCAGGAAGGUAAAUUUCAAACCCCACUUUAACCUCAAAGUCUGAUUUAAUAUCUGUUCACUCAGAUACUAGUAAAAUGAAAUACAACUUUCAACAAUGGAUCUCUUGGCUCUC